Molecule: RNase P RNA, 296 nt
Filed under: chicken gut metagenome
Description: Bacterial RNase P class B
Rfam family: Bacterial RNase P class B
About the family: Ribonuclease P (RNase P) is a ubiquitous endoribonuclease, found in archaea, bacteria and eukarya as well as chloroplasts and mitochondria.
Source: RNAcentral
CAAGGUAGAGGAAAGUCCAUGCUCGCACCGGCUGAGAUGCCGGUAGUGAUUGCGCUGGGGGAAGCAAUAACCCCAGGUGCGCGGGAGCGCGCAACGGCGGGCCGAGCCCUCACGUAGGAGGAGGCCCCUAAGGUGCCACAGAGACGAGCUUGGCGGCGACGCCAAGAUGAAACGCGGUAAACCCCACAAGCGAGAAACCCAAAUUCGGUAGGGGAAGCGCCCGAGGCGAAUUCAAGCCGACGGAGCCGGGCAUUGCCCGAGAUAAAUUGCCGUCCUCGACAUAACAUGGCUUACCG